This is an RNA transcript of Vitis vinifera (wine grape), 4767 nucleotides long. It is a transcript of the gene named cellulose synthase A catalytic subunit 3 [UDP-forming], with no coding region annotated. NCBI's taxonomy places the organism in Eukaryota, Viridiplantae, Streptophyta, Magnoliopsida, Vitales, Vitaceae. The transcript has 17 exons. The record is from RefSeq and is a predicted model, not a curated record.
GAGUAGAGCCAUCACACUCGCCAUAUGUGUGGAAGUAACCCUACUAUAGUAAUAAAAUGAUUGGAGUGGAUCCGUGGCUUCGCUGUGUCGCUGUCGUUGAUAUUUAAGCCGUCACAGCUCCCAACUGUCGCGUCUUGAGAUCGACAGAUCCAUUGAUCUCUGUCAAUCGCUCUCCAUUGUCUCAUUGUUUUUUUUUUGUUGUUGUUUAUCGAUACGUUAUUCUUUGAUUCUUUUUUGUUAUUUCUGAAGGAUUUUUUUUUUUCAUUUAUUGGUUAUUGACGUUGAGUGAAUUUGAUUGAGUUUGAUUUCUUGCGGAAUUUGAGUGGAUUUGGUUGAAUUUUGAUUCUUUCUUGGAAGAGUCAGAUUCAAAUUUGUGUGCAUUUCGGUUUAAUUUGGUUUGUUUUGCUUCAAUUUGGUUUUGUUUUUAUGAAAAACAUUUUGAUUGAUUAUUGGAGUCAGUGUCAGAUUUCUGCAUCUGAGAGAGAGAGUUGGGAUAAUUUAGAAGCUUUUGGAAUGUGAAUUUGGUAUAGAUUUCACUGUGAUCACGAAAUCGCGUGUUCAGAUUCGCAUACCUGAUUUCGGUAGAGAGAGAUGGAGAUCGGAGGAGUAGGGCCAAAGCCUUCAAAACACACGGGAGAUCAGGUUUGUCAAAUCUGUAACGACAAUGUUGGCACAACUGUAGACGGUGAACCCUUCAUUGCUUGCAGCGUUUGUGCAUUUCCUGUUUGCCGGCCCUGUUACGAGUAUGAGAGAAAAGAUGGCAAUCAGUCUUGUCCUCAGUGCAAGACUAAAUACAAGAGGCAUAAAGGGAGUCCUCCGAUUCAUGGGGAGGAUGUGGAAGAUGGUGAUAUGGAUGAUGUAGCUAAAGAUUUUAAGUAUUCUUCACGGGAUCAAGGUGAGAAGCAAAAGAUAGCAGAGCGCUCGCUGAGUUGGCAUAUGAGCCAUGGACAAGGAGAGGAUGUUGUGCCUCCAAACUAUGAUAAAGAGGUUUCUCUUAACCAUAUUCCUUUGCUCACCAAUGGACCCUCGGUUUCAGGGGAGUUGUCAGCUGCAUCUCCUGAGCGUCUAUCAAUGACGUCUCCUGAAGCUGGGCUUGGGGUAAAGCGUGUGUGUCCUCUACCUUAUGCAGCAGCUAAUAUUAGAGUGGGAGAUCCAGGGAGAGAGUUUGGAUCAGCAGGGUUUGGAAAAGUAGCUUGGAAAGAGCGAGUUGAUGGUUGGAAGAUGAAGCAGGAAAAGAAUGGAGCUCCAAUGAGUGUUAGUCAUGCACCUUCUGAAGGCAGGGGUGGUCUUGCACCUUCAGAAGGCAGGGGUGGUGUGGAUAUUGAUGCCAGCACUGAUGUGGUUAUGGAUGACACUUUAUUAAAUGAUGAAGCCCGCCAGCCUCUAUCAAGGAAGGUUUCUAUUCCCUCCUCCAGGAUCAAUCCUUAUAGGAUGGUCAUAGUUCUGCGACUUAUUAUUCUUUGCAUUUUUUUACAUUACCGUAUAACAAAUCCAGUUCCCAAUGCUUUCGCUUUGUGGUUAAUAUCCGUGAUUUGUGAGAUAUGGUUUGCAAUAUCAUGGAUAUUGGAUCAGUUCCCAAAAUGGCUUCCUGUGAACCGUGAGACAUAUCUUGACAGGCUGGCUCUGAGGUAUGACCGAGAAGGAGAGCCAUCUCAGUUGGCUGCUGUUGACAUUUUUGUCAGUACUGUUGAUCCUCUGAAGGAACCCCCACUUGUUACAGCCAAUACUGUCCUUUCUAUUCUUGCAGUUGACUACCCAGUCGACAAAGUUUCUUGCUAUGUCUCAGAUGAUGGAUCUGCUAUGCUGACAUUUGAAGCUCUGUCUGAAACUUCAGAGUUUGCAAGGAAAUGGGUUCCUUUCAGCAAGAAAUAUAACAUCGAGCCACGAGCUCCGGAAUGGUACUUUGCACAGAAGAUUGACUAUUUAAAGGAUAAAGUACAACCAUCGUUUGUGAAAGACCGCAGAGCUAUGAAGAGAGAAUAUGAGGAGUUCAAAAUUCGUGUCAAUGCACUUGUUGCAAAGGCACAGAAGGUUCCCGAUGAAGGAUGGAUAAUGCAAGAUGGUACACCUUGGCCUGGAAAUAACACCAGAGAUCAUCCAGGAAUGAUCCAGGUUUUCUUGGGCCAUAGUGGAGGACUUGACACUGAAGGUAAUGAGCUUCCACGGUUAGUCUACGUCUCUCGUGAGAAGCGGCCUGGAUUUCAGCAUCACAAGAAGGCUGGUGCCAUGAAUGCACUUGUUCGUGUAUCAGCAGUCCUCACCAAUGGGCCCUAUUUGCUGAAUCUUGACUGUGACCAUUAUAUAAACAACAGCAAGGCUUUGCGGGAGGCUAUGUGUUUUCUAAUGGAUCCAAACCUAGGAAAAUCAGUCUGUUAUGUUCAAUUUCCACAGAGAUUUGAUGGGAUUGAUAAGAGUGAUCGAUAUGCCAACCGUAACACUGUUUUCUUUGACAUAAAUCUGAGAGGCUUGGAUGGCAUCCAAGGCCCUGUAUAUGUGGGUACAGGAUGUGUUUUCAACAGACCAGCCUUGUAUGGUUAUGAGCCUCCUGUCAAGCCUAAGCAUAAGAAACCAGGUCUGUUCUCUUCAUGCUUUGGUGGAUCACAAAAGAAGAGUUCCGGAUCAAGUAAGAAGGAUUCCAGUAAGAAGAAAUCAGGCAAGCAGUUGGAUCCCACAGUGCCAAUAUUCAAUCUAGAAGAUAUAGAAGAAGGGCUGGAAGGUGCUGGAUUUGAUGAUGAGAAAUCACUGCUCAUGUCACAAAUGAGCCUAGAGAAAAGGUUUGGUCAAUCUGCUGUAUUUGUUGCUUCAACACUAAUGGAAAAUGGUGGUGUUCCACAGUCUGCUGCUCCUGAAAUCCUCCUCAAAGAAGCUAUUCAUGUUAUUAGCUGUGGAUAUGAGGACAAAACAGACUGGGGAAAUGAAAUAGGGUGGAUCUAUGGUUCUGUUACAGAGGAUAUUCUUACUGGAUUCAAGAUGCAUGCCCGAGGAUGGCGGUCAAUUUAUUGCAUGCCACAGCGUCCAGCCUUCAAAGGUUCUGCCCCCAUUAACCUUUCUGAUCGUCUGAAUCAAGUGCUUCGAUGGGCUUUGGGCUCAGUUGAAAUUCUUCUCAGUCGGCAUUGCCCCAUAUGGUAUGGUUAUGGUGGAAGGCUGAAAUGGCUUGAGAGAUUUGCUUAUGUUAACACCACCAUCUACCCUGUCACAGCCAUUCCACUUCUUGCAUAUUGCACGUUGCCAGCUGUCUGUCUACUCACCGGAAAGUUCAUUAUUCCACAGAUUAGUAACUUCGCCAGCAUCUGGUUUAUAUCCCUCUUUCUUUCCAUCUUUGCCACGGGUAUAUUGGAAAUGAGAUGGAGUGGUGUGGGGAUUGAUGAAUGGUGGAGAAAUGAACAGUUUUGGGUCAUUGGAGGUGUUUCUGCUCACCUUUUUGCUGUUUGCCAAGGCCUGCUCAAAGUCCUUGCUGGCAUCGAUACCAAUUUCACUGUCACAUCCAAGGCAUCUGACGAAGAGGGGGACUUUGCUGAGCUGUAUAUGUUCAAAUGGACAACUCUCCUCAUCCCACCAACCACUCUUCUCAUAAUCAAUUUGGUUGGAGUGGUUGCUGGAAUCUCCUAUGCCAUUAACAGUGGCUACCAGUCUUGGGGUCCUCUCUUUGGCAAGCUAUUUUUUGCUUUCUGGGUGAUUAUUCAUCUCUAUCCCUUCCUUAAAGGUCUAAUGGGACGCCAGAAUCGGACUCCUACAAUCGUUGUUGUGUGGUCAAUUCUCCUUGCUUCUAUCUUUUCCUUGUUAUGGGUCAGGAUUGAUCCUUUUACAACCCGUGUGACUGGCCCAGAUGUUGAACAGUGUGGAAUCAACUGCUAGAGGAAUCUAACUUCGGGAUUAAGUACAAGAAUCUGCAUGGCCGGAAAACAUGGGAAAUUUUCAUUUGGUUGUCUCUUAUUUGCAAAAUCUAGAAGGUUUGGGACACCAAAGGGACCAGCACAGCUGCAAGGUCUUGAAUCAGAUUUAACGAGGCCGUCGAUACAAAUUGUGGUUAAGUUCAGGGGCAAAUCUGUGGAGGACAAAGAGGUAGUGUGUCUUAUUUGAUGAUGAAUUGGGGAUCUUUGGCUGACAAACGAUGCAUUUGCCUAAAUUACAGGAGUAGUCAAUAUCCUAUCACCAGUAGAGUUCCUGACAAGGUCCUUUGUGCCUGCAUGGUCUAUAUUCUUUGGAGAGCCAACCUUUGGAUAAUAUUGUCAUCAUCAAAUCUCAAACAGGCACCACUGCUCAAUGUAAUGGAAAAAAAUGAAGGUAAGGAUGCCAAAAGAAGUGAUCUCAAGUUCUUUAAAUAGAGAUUCAAAGAGGGGAACUUGAAUUCACUUGUUCAGGCAUCAACUUUCAAAAGCUAAAUCAAGGAGAUACAUUGGGUGUGGUGGUUUUUUGAAGUAUAUCUUGUAGUCUGGGUUGUUGCUUUAGGCAAUGCCAUAAUCUCAAAGGGCUGAUCCUAGACACAUCUCAGUGGUGGAGAAGUCACUAUGGAGCCAAUCUAAGCAGUUUGGAUACAAGGGUUUAUUUUGUAGUUUAGUUUCUUUUAUUUUUUCUUUUUCUUAUUUUAGUUCAGAUCUAAAAUUAAAGGUCAUUAUCUUAGAGGCAUCCUGUUAAUUGUUUAGGCUGAUUUGACAUUAGAGAGUUGCUUUAGAGUCUCAGAAAUCAGGGAACUUUUUAAGGCUUUGAUCAGCCUAAUUUGUUUGGUUCUAGGAUCAAAUAAAUCCUAAAAAAAUAAUAAUUGAUUCA